Molecule: long non-coding RNA, 1406 nt
Filed under: Salmo salar (Atlantic salmon)
Lineage: Eukaryota; Metazoa; Chordata; Actinopteri; Salmoniformes; Salmonidae
Description: lncRNA (ENSSSAG00000097657.1)
Source: RNAcentral
UGAAGUUUUGCUCAACCAGCAGGUUUUUCUGUUUAAUGUUGGUGAGUCGGGGUCUUGAGUGCCCCUUUGUUGAACUUAAGGCACUUAAAUUAGACUAGUUUGGGGAGAACUUUUUUUUUUAAAUUAGUCGGAAACUAGAAAUGACCAACAAACUCAAAUAUUGUGUGCGAAAAGCCCACCUUGAAAGCACUGGUCUCCAAGCUUUGGUUACAGCAUCAACUUCAAAUUUCAAAAGUACUGGAUGUCUGUCCCUUUGUGAUUAGUCAAAUGUACUACUGUUAAAGUCAUUCUGCAGCUUGUCCACGGUAAGUCAGAGAAUACAUCAUGUAACAUUUGCCCAGUCAUGAGUGAACAGCUGCCUCAUUUUAAAUGUCAAAUGGCAUUUGCCUAUAGGUAAUUAUAGCAUCUGGGUAUGAUUGUUUGUUACGCACUAUAUGUGCAUAGGUCUUCAUAUGCAGUGAGAUGUCAAGCACCGUGAUCAUAGAAACUGAUAACUGUGUUGACUCAUUGUAACAAACCUGACUUUGUUGAAAGUUGAUGGGGAGAUACAGUAUGAAGGUCCUUGUUGAAAUCCAUAUUUCACUCCGAGGAACAUAGCCACAAUAACUGUAGACAUACCUCCGGUUGUAUUAAUUCGAUGCUGCAUCUUUAAAAGACUAUGUUAUUGCUAAUUCCACUGUUUUGAGAAAUCUGCCUGUGUACCUGAAUAGUUUGAGAACAAAGAAAUUGGUUUCUUUGAUAAUUUAGACCAGCGGUGUCAAACUCAUUCCACGGAGGGUUGAGUGUCUGUGGGAUAAGACCUAGACAGCCAGGUUAGGGGAGUUCCUUACUAAUUAGUUCAUCAAUCAAGUACAAGGGUGGAGCAAACACCCUCAGACACUCCGUGGAAUGAGUUUGACACUUGAUUUAGACAAUUGUUUUUUUUUGGUUUUUUAAAUCACCCCUAUUUAAAAAGCUUGUCAUUACAGCCCUGUACUGUAGCCAAUAGAUAUGCACACCACCCCCUGGACCACCACUUCUUGAGAAGGACGUGGCAACCCUGUCUCGUCGCCAGACUGGAUGGGGGCAGUCAACUUCUUCCAUAUCCCUCUCUUAUGCCCCAUGCGAGUUUCUUAGUGCCAUUGGCUUCACAUCCUGACAACCUUGAAAAAGUGCCUCACGUCCAUCAUAGUUUCCAUCUAAAUCUUAACGGCUCUGGUUAUAUUGGUUUAUAUAUGUCUAGGUAUUUCUACCAUGGUUUGAAAAUUCUAAGUAUAUGAUGUAAAAUGUAUAGUUCAAUAACUCAUGUCAUAGUUGUAUUUUCUUUAUACAGAUGUAACUUGUUACUUUUCAUAAAUAUAUAAUGUAAAUAUGCAUACACUUGUAAUUUGUCAUAUCAAAUAACAUUAUCAUAAUAAAAUGGUGAG